Molecule: non-coding RNA, 140 nt
Organism: Cucumis melo (muskmelon)
Lineage: Eukaryota; Viridiplantae; Streptophyta; Magnoliopsida; Cucurbitales; Cucurbitaceae
Source: Rfam
AAGUUUUAUUUGGUGAGCCAAAGAUGACUUGCCUUAAUAUAAGAAACGUAUAUAAAUGGGAGAGCUUCAAGUAUAUAGGAAGCUCUUAUUGUUUCAUAUUUAAGUUGGCAAGUUAUCUUUGGCUUACUUCAUAAACUUCU